AGUGAACGCUGGCGGUAGGCCUAACACAUGCAAGUCGAACGGCAGCACAGUAAGAGCUUGCUCUUACGGGUGGCGAGUGGCGGACGGGUGAGGAAUACAUCGGAAUCUACUUUUUCGUGGGGGAUAACGUAGGGAAACUUACGCUAAUACCGCAUACGACCUACGGGUGAAAGCAGGGGAUCUUCGGACCCUGCGCGAUUGAAUGAGCCGAUGUCGGAUUAGCUAGUUGGCGGGGUAAAGGCCCACCAAGGCGACGAUCCGUAGCUGGUCUGAGAGGAUGAUCAGCCACACUGGAACUGAGACACGGUCCAGACUCCUACGGGAGGCAGCAGUGGGGAAUAUUGGACAAUGGGCGCAAGCCUGAUCCAGCCAUACCGCGUGGGUGAAGAAGGCCUUCGGGUUGUAAAGCCCUUUUGUUGGGAAAGAAAAGCAGCAGGUUAAUACCCCGCUGUUCUGACGGUACCCAAAGAAUAAGCACCGGCUAACUUCG
RNAcentral lists this ribosomal RNA (490 nucleotides) under uncultured bacterium. RNAcentral describes it as "partial 16S ribosomal RNA". It matches the Rfam family "Bacterial small subunit ribosomal RNA", at positions 29 to 505 of the family's 1533-position model. The record is from RNAcentral.